UUGAGAUUUAAACAAAGGCAAACGCAGCGUGGUAUAAACUGUGUAUAAAUUGUUAACUAUUCUACCAAGGAAAUAAUGUAGAAUUCUGUCAACUAAAUAGCUUCCAUUCUUGUUCUGCUGUUCACACACUACUUACACAGUCCCAGUUCUAGUUCGGUUCAUUAAUCUGCAAUUAUGAGAUAUUCAAAAAG
This is a long non-coding RNA of Amblyraja radiata (thorny skate), 191 nucleotides long. RefSeq lists it as uncharacterized. The transcript is spliced from 3 exons. The record is from RefSeq and is a predicted model, not a curated record. Lineage: Eukaryota; Metazoa; Chordata; Chondrichthyes; Rajiformes; Rajidae.